Long non-coding RNA from Ipomoea nil (Japanese morning glory), 92 nucleotides. RefSeq lists it as uncharacterized. The transcript is spliced from 3 exons. The record is from RefSeq and is a predicted model, not a curated record. NCBI's taxonomy places the organism in Eukaryota, Viridiplantae, Streptophyta, Magnoliopsida, Solanales, Convolvulaceae.
UUGGCAACCAAAUUUUGUCAUUCAAUUCUAGCAUGAACGAUGGAUCCAUACCUUAGCUUGUCAUUCAUCAUCUGAAGGUAUAUACAUCUUCU